AUGGCUCAGGACGAACGGCUGGCGGCGUGCUUCAUACAUGCAAGUCGAACGAGAAGCUGACUUCGGUCAGUGGAAAGUGGCGGACGGGUGAGUAAUAUGUAGAGAAUCUGCCCUUGAGUGGGGGACAACAGAGGGAAACUUCUGCUAAUACCCCAUAUGAGCUAACUUGAAAUAGUUAUCUUGAAAACUCCGGUGCUCAAGGAUGAGUCUGCAUCUGAUUAGCUAGUUGGCGGUGUAAUGGACCACCAAGGCGACGAUCAGUAGCUGGUUUGAGAGGAUGAUCAGCCACAAUGGGACUGAGACACGGCCCAUACUCCUACGGGAGGCAGCAGUAGGGAAUUUUGCGCAAUGGGCGAAAGCCUUGACGCAGCAACGCCGCGUGAACGAUUAAGCCCUUCGGGGUGUAAAGUUCUGUCAGUAGGGACGAAUUUUGACGGUACCUACAGAGGAAGCACCGGCUAACUCCGUGCCAGCAGCUGC
RNAcentral lists this ribosomal RNA (480 nucleotides) under uncultured bacterium. RNAcentral's name for it is "bacterial SSU rRNA". It matches the Rfam family "Bacterial small subunit ribosomal RNA", at positions 19 to 518 of the family's 1533-position model. The record is from RNAcentral.